This 271-nucleotide long non-coding RNA is filed under the name Ursus maritimus (polar bear). Its description in RNAcentral is "Six3os1 conserved region 5 (ENSUMAG00000012886.1)". It matches the Rfam family "Six3os1 conserved region 5". Lineage: Eukaryota; Metazoa; Chordata; Mammalia; Carnivora; Ursidae. The record is from RNAcentral.
UGGGGCUCAUUAGGCAGAGUGGGGUGCCGAGAGGUGCGCAGCGCCGCCCCGGAGGCCGCCUUUGAGCCGUCGGGGCAGCUUCAUUAAGCGGCGCUAACCAGGCAUACAAAUGCCGGGCCUAGCAGCUUUCUUGCAAUGCCGGGGCCUUAGCAGGGCGCCAAGCUAAUGAGGGUCACUCAAAGGGGCUGAUCAAAUAUUCAAAUUUCCCUGCACGCCAGGAACUUUUAUGUGAGGAGAAAGUUGAGGCAACUGAGCUGUGUUUACUGUCCCC